AUUUAGGUGAGAUAAGGUUGUAGGUUGGCUAGGUCAUGCUGGCCUGAGUAUCAUGGGAUUUUAAACUAAAUGUAAAUGAAAUAGGCCGUUAUCUUUCUUGAACUAAAUGAUCCCCUUCCAUUUCUUUCACAUAAAACAUAUGAGUUUAGAAGGGUUUUAUUUUUUUCUCUAAAUUAUGUAAUCAGGUACAAAAACACUUUGAUUCACUGCCUGUUUCAUCAAGGCCAGUUUUUUUAAAGAAAGUGGCGUUUAUUCCAUUAAUUAUACCAAAAGGUUCAAAUUAGUCUGAAGAUUGAUAACUCAAGGCAAACCAUUUAUCAAAUUGAUUGUAAAUGUAAAUUUUCUUUUAAAUAAUACAUAAAUGAAUAAAACAUAUACAGGCGGUCAGUCUGUGGAUUAUGGUGAGCCCUUUCCGAUUACAAGUUAAUUAACUUAUAGCCGUAGGUGACGAAAGCGAAUAAGUCUUUGAAUCAUUGAACCGAUUCGUUCAAAUCACUGAUUCAUUCAGGAACGUCAAAAUUAUGUUUUGCUUGGAGACGUUCGGUUCGCUGUGGUUUUGUUUAAGAACAUUUUCGUUGGCGGAGAAUAAGGCAAUAUUGUGUUUAAAAUGUAAGCUUAACAACAUUUUAUCUACAGUUUGUUGAACUAUUGUAUAAAAGAUCAAGAUGCUGUAACACUAACAUCAGUUUAAAUUAAGGUUGGGCGGCUGUUUUUUUACCGGUGUCAGUUGUGUAAAAAUAGGAAGUUAAUGAUCCCACACUAAAAUUGGUUUAAUGUAUACGUAGGCCAAUAUUAUAUUUGACGUUCAGUUUACAUCAAAUCAACUUCAUAUCAAAUUUUUGACGUCCGUUUGAUUUGUAUAUUUGUCCUGUAUUUUGAUGUCAAUUUGAAGUCUUUUCAACAUCAGUUAACGUUACACACCUGGAUUUUCUAAUCACGCCAUUAUAUUGUUUGUUUGCCAACUUUGCAUUUGAUUUCUCACCUCAGGUUAGCAAUUUGUCUAACUGUUUUGGCAGAUCUUAUGAGAACAUGGAGAAUUAUGUGUGAAUCAGCUGUUUGGUGCUGGACGAACUGACCAGCUUCCAGCCUUCAGAAAGUACGAGUUGUGUACAAAAAGAUAAAGACAGAGAAAACAGCACUUUGGCCUUCACAGAGACUGGAAGAGACAAGUGCCUGUGGUGUUGUGUUUGGACACACCCACGGAGUGGACUCUGUUCAGCUGAAAGAAAAGGUCACAGAAAUGUCAUGCAGUCAUGUCCUUGAGACGAGGUGGAAGAGAUGCGAUUGGGCCCAGACCCGUCAUCAUCAAGGAGACAGGUGGCCAAGGAGGAAUCGGUCACUAAUGCAGUCGGCUAACUAUGUCAAGGACACAGAAGCCAAACCUGGUACAGUUCACCUGUGAGAGACCUGAGAGCACGAACGCAGAGAGGAACUGACCCACUAAACCAACUUACAACUCUACAGUCUGCACUCUUCUUUAGAUUAAAGGUAUCUGAGUGCUUGGUGGUGGGGUCAGGCAGUUCAGAGUGAAUGGGGAAGGAUGGGAUUGUGGAGAGCAGUCACAGAUAUCGGACUCUGCAUUUUCAGUGGCUGAUGAUAGCAGCUUAAAGGCUUAUAUUGUAAUAGGAAUGCCUUGAGGUUGGUUAAUCAUGCUUUGAUUUGGACUUUGAUAUUUGUUGUGGAGUACUGUUGUGUGUGUGUGUUUAUAUGUGUGCAUAUAUACGUGUGUUUCUGAUUUGGUAAUUUCAGUAUUUUGUAUGUCUUUAUUCAAAAGUGUGGCUGUUAAGAUUUUUUUUUAUGUUAUAGAAAAAAAUCUCUUUCACCAAGGCUGCAUAUAUUUAUUGACAAAUACAUUAAAACGGUAAUAUGUAAAAAUAUUUGUACAAUGUAAAAACAGUAAAAAUUUUAAUAUGAUUAUUUGCUGCACAAGAAACAUUUUGUAUAACCAUCACUGUUGAAAAUUUUUGGGGAUCAUUGUGACCAUUUAUUUCAGGUUAUUUGAAAAAAAAAAAAUAGAAUAGAAAGUU
Molecule: long non-coding RNA, 2027 nt
Organism: Carassius carassius (crucian carp)
Lineage: Eukaryota; Metazoa; Chordata; Actinopteri; Cypriniformes; Cyprinidae
Exons: 4
Source: RefSeq, a predicted model, not a curated record